UCGGGAAUUUUGGGCAAUGGGCGAAAGCCUGACCCAGCAACGCCGCGUGAAGGAUGAAGUAUUUCGGUAUGUAAACUUCGUAAGAAUAGGAAGAAUAAAUGACGGUACUAUUUGUAAGGUCCGGCUAACUACGUGCCAGCAGCCGCGGUAAUACGUAGGGACCAAGCGUUGUUCGGAUUUACUGGGCGUAAAGGGCGCGUAGGCGGUGUGUCAAGUCAGUUGUGAAAUCUCCGAGCUUAACUCGGAACGGUCAACUGAUACUGUCACACUAGAGUACAGAAGGGGCAAUCGGAAUUCUUGGUGUAGCGGUGAAAUGCGUAGAUAUCAAGAGGAACACCUGAGGCGAAGGCGGGUUGCUGGGCUGAUACUGACGCUGAGGCGCGAAAGCUAGGGUAGCAAACGGGAUUAGAUACCCAUGUAGUCCCUGAGCGGGCUGGCAAGGCGCAU
RNAcentral lists this ribosomal RNA (447 nucleotides) under uncultured bacterium. RNAcentral's name for it is "bacterial SSU rRNA". It matches the Rfam family "Bacterial small subunit ribosomal RNA", at positions 355 to 825 of the family's 1533-position model. The record is from RNAcentral.